Thalassophryne amazonica is the source of this 100-nucleotide long non-coding RNA. RefSeq lists it as uncharacterized. Lineage: Eukaryota; Metazoa; Chordata; Actinopteri; Batrachoidiformes; Batrachoididae. The record is from RefSeq and is a predicted model, not a curated record. The transcript is spliced from 3 exons.
GGGAAAUUUGACAGAAUAUUUAACAAGGAUAUUACUUCUAAUCUCACUUUCUUUCCCAGUUCAAAGUAUUUGAAUCAGUAACUGUCAGAUAACGGUUACG